GGCCUCCUGGUGCUUACCACGGGCAGUGUUUUUACACUGACUCUAUAGAAAAAGGAGGCAAACUAAGUCUUCCUCAGAUACACCUCAUCCCAGGCCUUGUGUCUUUGUCUGUAUUGUGAAUGGGGAAACACAG
This is a small nucleolar RNA of Heterocephalus glaber (naked mole-rat), 133 nucleotides long. Lineage: Eukaryota; Metazoa; Chordata; Mammalia; Rodentia; Bathyergidae. The record is from Ensembl.